Mya arenaria is the source of this 431-nucleotide long non-coding RNA. RefSeq lists it as uncharacterized. Lineage: Eukaryota; Metazoa; Mollusca; Bivalvia; Myida; Myidae. The transcript is spliced from 3 exons. The record is from RefSeq and is a predicted model, not a curated record.
GUCCAGAUAAAAACAUUGUAUGGCUCAAUAAUCUUCACCAAACUUGAUGCAUCAGAUGAAGUCUUUGACUAUCUAGAAAGGGAUUUUGUAAGCUAGUACUGGACAUGAAGACAGUCACUUGGAAAUGAUGAUUGUGCAACAGCGGUUAAACAUAUGCAAUACAUCAUAUGGUGACCAGACAGGGAGAAAACUAGGGAAAUGGUUAUCCACCAACAGCCCAAGUGCUUGGUUGUUAAGAGGAGCCACAGCAUUAAACAUUACUGCACAAAGUGGUGUGCUUUGCUAACACUUAUGAUUGUGAUUUGAUAAAAAAGCAAUGAAUGAACGCUCAUUAUUCAUAACUAUAACUAAAACAUUGAUGUCAAAAGUUGUCAAUUUUCAACAUAUAUAGUAUUUGAGAUCCUGAUCUAUAGUUGUGUGCAAUGGAUUAU